AGCGUAGACGGCGCUGCAAGUCUGAAGUGAAAGCCCGGGGCUCAACCCCGGGACUGCUUUGGAAACUGUAAUGCUAGAGUGCUGGAGAGGUAAGUGGAAUUCCUAGUGUAGCGGUGAAAUGCGUAGAUAUUAGGAGGAACACCAGUGGCGAAGGCGGCUUACUGGACAGUAACUGACGUUGAGGCUCGAAAGCGUGGGGAGCAAACA
Molecule: ribosomal RNA, 207 nt
Filed under: uncultured bacterium
Lineage: Bacteria
Description: partial 16S ribosomal RNA
Rfam family: Bacterial small subunit ribosomal RNA
Source: RNAcentral